Pimephales promelas (fathead minnow) is the source of this 1919-nucleotide non-coding RNA. Lineage: Eukaryota; Metazoa; Chordata; Actinopteri; Cypriniformes; Leuciscidae. The record is from RefSeq and is a predicted model, not a curated record.
UUUUACUAAACCGUCUGUUUUCAGUGUAUAUAAAUAUACUAAAACCCUAAAAACGCAGAACGCCUUCAUUUGUAUGGGGAAAAAAAUGCAACUUUUCCUUUAAUAAAUGUACAAAAUACGAUGUAAAAGUCUAUACAUUAGUGCAUGAUGUUCGACACAAUCAGUGUUUGUGUGUGUGAUUCCACAAAAGACUUCUUCUGCGUUGAACAGGACUCGUCAUUAACUGGCUUAUCUGCAUUUCCCGAGUCAGCUUGUGACCAGACACAAUGACCUCUGACCCCUGGCCCGGGCCGAGAGCCAAACUCAGCCCUCGCACAGAUGUGUGUAUUGUCCAGCGCAGCGGUGCCUUGGAGUUCUUUCAGCUAAUGACGUGCGUGAGUGGGUGUGUGUGUGUGUUCACAAUACUGUAGAUUUCAUCCCUUCACAUUGAUUCUCGUAAACACACGUUACUGGACCAGAGAUACUGUAAGUGCACCUAAAUAUUCUUUCUGUUAUGAAACACGUUGACUGGUCUAAUGUAAGACUGAUUCAUGCUUGUACUUAAGACUGUGUUUAUGCAACUGACCCACAUGUUGUUUGUUAUGGAUAUGGCAGGCGAUUCUCAAAACCAUCACUAGCUGUGAUCGAGUGCAUUAGAGCAAGUGAGUUGUGUGUUUAUUUCCUGUUCUGCUGAGCAAAGGUCACCUUUCAAGACGGCAGUGCUGCUUUGCAUUUGUUUUGUUGCACUUUUUAAGAUGCAUACGUGUUCAAGUCAGUUUUUUACAUGGGAAUCAGGUUAAGAAAUGUGACAUGUGUACAGCUUGAAUUCUGCAUGUUUCUCUCCCAAUAGAUUGCGAUAUUUGCAAGCAAACAGCGGUCCCCAGAGAUGCAUUGGUGCAGGUGGACGGGCGGCUGGACGUCUCACGUUCACACACAGUCCACAGGCCAAGAAGAUGAAGAUCGCUGUGACUUUCUGUUCAAGAUCAUCCUGAUCGGCGACAGCAACGUGGGGAAGACCUGCGUGAUCCACAGCUUCAAGUCUGGGGUGUUCAGUGACAACCAGCACAACACUAUUGGAGUGGACUUCACCGUUCGCAGCAUGGACAUCGAUGGGAAGAAAGUAAAGAUGCAGGUCUGGGACACGGCGGGACAGGAGCGUUUCCGCACCAUCACACAGAGUUACUACCGAAGCGCCCACGGUGCCAUGAUCGCGUACGACCUGACCCGGCGACCCACCUUUGAGUCUCUACCGCACUGGAUACAAGGAGUGGAGCAGUACGGAGCCGCCAACGUCGUCUUCGUUCUGAUAGGAAAUAAGUGUGACCUGGAGGCGCAGCGGCAGGUGCUGUUUGAGGACGCGUGCACGCUGGCGGAGCGGACCGGGGCGCUGGCCGCGCUCGAGACCUCCGCAAAACACUAUCGAAAUAUCGAGGAAGCCUUCGAACUGAUGGCCCGCGAACUCAUAGUCCGACACGGAGGAACAGUCCAUCAGGACAACCAAUCAGAUUUACCCACAGUUUUCUUGCACUUGGAUUCUCAUUCAAUAGAUGGAGAACAUAAGAAGAGGUCAUGUGACUGCUGACUUUAUACGUUAGGUGGACUAAGAUGAUAAAACACAGUGGGAUGUGACAAAAAAAUGAAUCAGACAUCUCAGAAAAGGCAGUUGCAUUUAAUGAACAAACUCUGUAAACUUAUACAAUUAUGAUGUUUUUCUUGUUCUGUUUUUCUGCACUUUUAUUUUGCAGCAGGUUGUGUACAGUACAAUAAAAUGCAAAAACAGUGAGUCAGUAAAUGCAUUCUUUGUUCUUUCUGAACAUAAAACAAUAUAUUUAAAGGACACAAUGUUACUUGAGGGAUUUGUGUGUUAAAUUAUUUAAAACCAACAAUAAACAAUGACUGCUCAGUUCAAAAAUAUCUAGACAGAACAUUUAAAAAAAAAA